RNAcentral lists this ribosomal RNA (405 nucleotides) under uncultured bacterium. Its description in RNAcentral is "partial 16S ribosomal RNA". It matches the Rfam family "Bacterial small subunit ribosomal RNA", at positions 29 to 526 of the family's 1533-position model. The record is from RNAcentral.
AUUGAACGCUGGCGGCAGGCCUAACACAUGCAAGUCGAGCGAGCGGCGGACGGGUGAGUAAUGUCUGGGAAACUGCCUGAUGGAGGGGGAUAACUACUGGAAACGGUAGCUAAUACCGCAUACCCUCAGAUGUGCCCAGAUGGGAUUAGCUAGUAGGUGGGGUAACGGCUCACCUAGGCGACGAUCCCUAGCUGGUCUGAGAGGAUGACCAGCCACCCUGGAACGGAGACACGUUCCAGACUCCUGCGGGGGGCAGCAGGGGUGAAUAUUGCACAAGGGGCGCAAGCGUGAGGCAACCAUGCCGCGUGUGUGAAGAAGGCCUUCGGGUUGUAAAGCACUUUCAGCGGGGAGGCGUUACCCGCAGAAGAAGCACCGGCUAACUCCGUGCCAGCAGCCGCGUAAUAC